CAGGCCUAACACAUGCAAGUCGAGCGGACCAUUCCUUCGGGGAUGGUUAGCGGCGGACGGGUGAGUAACACGUAGGCAACCUGCCUGUAAGAUCGGGAUAACUACCGGAAACGGUAGCUAAGACCGGAUAGCUGGUUUCCCCGCAUGGGGGAAUCAUGAAACACGGGGCAACCUGUGGCUUACGGAUGGGCCUGCGGCGCAUUAGCUAGUUGGUGGGGUAACGGCUCACCAAGGCGACGAUGCGUAGCCGACCUGAGAGGGUGAUCGGCCACACUGGGACUGAGACACGGCCCAGACUCCUACGGGAGGCAGCAGUAGGGAAUCUUCCGCAAUGGGCGCAAGCCUGACGGAGCAACGCCGCGUGAGUGAUGAAGGUUUUCGGAUCGUAAAGCUCUGUUGCCAAGGAAGAACGCCUCGGAGAGUAACUGCUCUGAGGGUGACGGUACUUGAGAAGAAAGCCCCGGCUAACUACGUGCCAGCAGCCGCGGUAAUACGUAGGGGGCAAGCGUUGUCCGGAAUUAUUGGGCGUAAAGCGCGCGCAGGCGGUCUUUUAAGUUUGGUGUUUAAGCCCGGGGCUCAACCCCGGUUCGCACUGAAAACUGGGAGACUUGAGUGCAGGAGAGGAAAGCGGAAUUCCACGUGUAGCGGUGAAAUGCGUAGAGAUGUGGAGGAACACCAGUGGCGAAGGCGGCUUUCUGGACUGUAACUGACGCUGAGGCGCGAAAGCGUGGGGAGCAAACAGGAUUAGAU
RNAcentral lists this ribosomal RNA (750 nucleotides) under uncultured bacterium. RNAcentral's name for it is "bacterial SSU rRNA". It matches the Rfam family "Bacterial small subunit ribosomal RNA", at positions 43 to 783 of the family's 1533-position model. The record is from RNAcentral.